This 468-nucleotide ribosomal RNA is filed under the name uncultured bacterium. RNAcentral's name for it is "partial 16S ribosomal RNA". It matches the Rfam family "Bacterial small subunit ribosomal RNA", at positions 28 to 507 of the family's 1533-position model. The record is from RNAcentral.
GACGAACGCUGGCGGCGUGCUUAACGCAUGCAAGUCGAACGGAAAGGCCCUGCUUUUGUGGGGUGCUCGAGUGGCGAACGGGUGAGUAACACGUGAGUAACCUGCCCUUGACUUUGGGACAACUUCAGGAAACUGGGGCUAAUACCGGAUAGGAGCUCCUGCUGCAUGGUGGGGGUUGGAAAGUUUCGGCGGUUGGGGAUGGACUCGCGGCUUAUCAGCUUGUUGGUGGGGUAGUGGCUUACCAAGGCUUUGACGGGUAGCCGGCCUGAGAGGGUGACCGGCCACAUUGGGACUGAGAUACGGCCCAGACUCCUACGGGAGGCAGCAGUGGGGAAUAUUGCACAAUGGGCGGAAGCCUGAUGCAGCAACGCCGCGUGCGGGAUGACGGCCUUCGGGUUGUAAACCGCUUUCGCCUGUGACGAAGCGUGAGUGACGGUAAUGGGUAAAGAAGCACCGGCUAACUACGUG